UUCGCAAUGCCCGAAAGGGUGACGAAGCGACGCCGCGUGCGGGAAGAAGGCCUUCGGGUUGUAAACCGCUGUCGGGAGUUAAGAAAUGCAAGGAUGUUAAUAGCGUCUUUGCUUGACUAAGGCUCCGGAGGAAGCCACGGCUAACUCUGUGCCAGCAGCCGCGGUAAUACAGAGGCGGCAAGCGUUGUUCGGAAUUAUUGGGCGUAAAGAGCACGUAGGCGGCUGUGUAAGUCGGUUGUGAAAGCCUUCCGCUCAACGGAAGAACGGCAUCCGAUACUGCAUGGCUUGAGUGCGGGAGGGGAGAGUGGAACUUCUGGUGGAGCGGUGAAAUGCGUAGAUAUCAGAAGGAACGCCGGCGGCGAAAGCGGCUCUCUGGCCCGUAACUGACGCUGAGUGUGCGAAAGCUAGGGGAGCAAACGGGAUUAGAUACCCCGGUAGUCCUAGCCGUAAACGAUGGGCACUAAGUAGAGGGGUUUU
This 477-nucleotide ribosomal RNA is filed under the name uncultured anaerobic ammonium-oxidizing bacterium. Its description in RNAcentral is "bacterial SSU rRNA". It matches the Rfam family "Bacterial small subunit ribosomal RNA", at positions 365 to 832 of the family's 1533-position model. The record is from RNAcentral.